GCAGCAUUGUUCGGCUGGGCCGCUCCCGGCCAGCGCCGCGUGUGAGUGGCACGGACCUGCUCCGCGGUCUGCGGGGGCGGAUUGCAAAGGCUGGAGAAGCACCAACUCCCGUGUUGGCAGAACGGAAUGUAAGAGUACCAUGGAGCACAGCUAUGAAAAGCUCCAGGGAUUCAGAGGAAGAGCACAUUGUAGAGAAAAGAGGAGCAGAACGCGCGGCGGUGUGCCAUGAUCACGAAGGCAAAUUAGGGAAGCAAACAGGAAUGUUUUGCUUAGCAACAAAUUGUCCUUCAGAGCUGAGGAAGACUCUACAAGUAAAAGACAAAGCAGAAGACAAUUUAUGCAAGAUUUAAAAAACUAUGGUGCUGGUCUUCAAAAAGUCAUGUCACAUCAAGAAGAUAAACACCAAUAACUCCCCUUCCCCUGAAAGACAAACACCAUGGAUAAUCUACCAAAGAGAACAAGAUGAUUAAUCAACACUGACAUUCACUUUUGUGGUGUGUGUGUGGUGCCAGGGAUCAACCUUGUGCAUGCUAGGCAAGCACUCUACCAACUGAGCCAUAUCCCCAGCCCUGACAUUCACUUUCACUAAUAAUAAAAUGACCAAAUAACACAGACUGCUUCAAAUGACAGGAUUCUUUUUCAAUGGGGGUGCCAGCGAGGGACAGAGAAACAGACACACUUAUGCAGUAUUGGAAGAAAACCGAAUCAGUAUGAACUCACAUGAAAUACCCAGAGACUUAAGAAUAUUUAUGUCUUUGAUGCAAGAAGUCCAAGUUUAAAAAUCUACCUUAACAAUAUCACCGGAAAGACCACCAAAAACUUAUAGACAAGAGUGUUCAAUUUGCCACUCGACUUAAAAGUCUUAACAAUUUUCUGCUGCAGUAGAAUAAAAUCUAAACCCUA
Long non-coding RNA from Marmota monax (woodchuck), 903 nucleotides. RefSeq lists it as uncharacterized. Lineage: Eukaryota; Metazoa; Chordata; Mammalia; Rodentia; Sciuridae. The transcript has 3 exons. The record is from RefSeq and is a predicted model, not a curated record.